RNAcentral lists this long non-coding RNA (256 nucleotides) under Cyanistes caeruleus (blue tit). Its description in RNAcentral is "lncRNA (ENSCCEG00000014016.1)". Lineage: Eukaryota; Metazoa; Chordata; Aves; Passeriformes; Paridae. The record is from RNAcentral.
GUGAAAUGUCUCUUCUCAUUACAGCCAGUUCUUAGCUGGUGCCUACCAGGUGGUACUGGGGAUUUUUUUAUGCUGUUCAGCUCUGCUCAAGUGAGACAAGCAAACCCUUCUGGAAAGCAUGGGACUCAAUUGACACAACCUUUGCUGUUCCAUUUGAUAAUUGUCCAGGAUGAGAUCUAGAGCACAGGUGUUUUCAAUCAUGUUUUGUACCUGGUAUUAUAAAUUAUUGUUUGCUUUGGUUUAAGCUUAGAAUUUG